Molecule: long non-coding RNA, 1140 nt
Organism: Antechinus flavipes (yellow-footed antechinus)
Lineage: Eukaryota; Metazoa; Chordata; Mammalia; Dasyuromorphia; Dasyuridae
Exons: 5
Source: RefSeq, a predicted model, not a curated record
UCCCAGCGGCUUAAAUGCGGGCGUGCUGGCCUCCGUUCUCUCUUUCUGGUUCUAGAAGUUCCUGGUUCCCUAUGGCUAUGCGGGACUGCGGCCUACAGCGCGCAGGCCGGGCUCCGGGGAACCCCCGGGGCCCGGGGCCCUCCUGUUCCUUUCGGGAUCGGUAGGCCUAAAGUGGGUAAUGAUCCGGGACUGCUCCUGGCACGGGUCGGCAGUCCGAGAGGGUGGUUGGGGCGAGGGCUUAGGCAGGUGCUGGCGGUGCCCUCUGAGGGAGGAAGGACUGAGUUCUGUUCUCGCCCCGACCCUGCAGGGUUCUGCCAAUUGCGGCGGGGGCGCGAUGGCGAGAAGGGGCCGAGCCCGAGCCUGGAGCUGGGAUGUCGCGCAGUCCUGCUUAAGCGGAGCAAUGGGCUGCCUCCGGAAGGGCCUGCUGGUGAUUUUGAUUUAAAAUGAAGAGAUCUUGCCCAGGAUCUGCACCAGAAAUGCUGAAUACUGUUAAGAAUGUUGAGAUUAAAAAGCAUCCAAACUUUCCGAAGAUAAUUCUGAAGACACAAAAAUGUUUUUUGUUUUUAAGUUGGUAUUAGCCAGAAAGGCAUGAAGGAGCUGUGAAUAUGAAGAUAAUCAAUAAUGUCUUAGGUGGUUGUGGAUGGAUAUUCAGAUCUUUAUACCGUUACAAGAUUUUAUUUCAUCAGACUUUCAGAAAGCUCAUGAUGAUCUGUAGUAGUAGUAAUGCAAGUGGGAAAUAGAAGACCCAAGAGACUUGAAUCAUGAUGGAUAUUAUCUACAACUCCUACACCAUUGUCAUGUCUGACAGACACAUGACCCUAUGGACCAAUGCAUGCUAGGCAUUUCUAUCCACUGUCUUCUGAAGUCUGUCCAACAUGUUGCUUUCAUGACACAUUCCAUUUGUUCUCUAAUGCCCCUUCUCAACCUUGCCUUCAGGCUUUCCCAACAGCUUUUAAAUGUUCAAGGUAAUUUUUCACUCUCCUCUCACCUUCAUCCGUAGCUUAAUAGUUUGCUUUCUGCCAUGAUCUGAGAUUGAUUACUCUGCAUUCUGGGUUUUUAAUUUUUUUCCAGACAUUUUUUUGCAUGAUGUACUUUGCAAAUUAAAUAAAGUAAUAAUACAAUCUUCCAGUCUUAAACCAA